RNAcentral lists this transfer RNA (84 nucleotides) under Oryza brachyantha (malo sina). It matches the Rfam family "tRNA". From Rfam's summary of the family: Transfer RNA (tRNA) molecules are approximately 80 nucleotides in length. Their secondary structure includes four short double-helical elements and three loops (D, anti-codon, and T loops). Further hydrogen bonds mediate the characteristic L-shaped molecular structure. tRNAs have two regions of fundamental functional importance: the anti-codon, which is responsible for specific mRNA codon recognition, and the 3' end, to which the tRNAs corresponding amino acid is attached (by aminoacyl-tRNA synthetases). tRNAs cope with the degeneracy of the genetic code in two manners: having more than one tRNA (with a specific anti-codon) for a particular amino acid; and 'wobble' base-pairing, i.e. permitting non-standard base-pairing at the 3rd anti-codon position. The record is from Rfam by way of RNAcentral. Lineage: Eukaryota; Viridiplantae; Streptophyta; Magnoliopsida; Poales; Poaceae.
GGGUCGAUGUCCGAGCGGUUAAUGGGGACGGACUGUAAAUUCGUUGACGAUAUGUCUACGCUGGUUCAAAUCCAGCUCGGCCCA